This 1207-nucleotide long non-coding RNA is filed under the name Oryzias sinensis (Chinese medaka). RNAcentral describes it as "lncRNA (ENSOSIG00000020677.1)". Lineage: Eukaryota; Metazoa; Chordata; Actinopteri; Beloniformes; Adrianichthyidae. The record is from RNAcentral.
GCUGCUGCUGCUGCUGCUGCUGCUGAUGCUGAUGCUGAUGCUGCUGAUGAGUUUGACAGUCAGACACGGAGCCAAAUGUUGCUGCUCUGCACCGUCUCCUUUGUUCAGCCCUGCAUGCUGUUUGCCGGCUGUUGUUUGUCAUCCACCUGAUGUAGGUGUCAGACUUUUUUUUUCUUUUUCUCUGAAGACUUAAGAAGGACCAAUUUAGGCGAAGCGAACACUAGAAGCUGACGUGGGCAGGUUCGGAUCAAAGCGGCACACAUCUGCCGGCUCGCGCCUCGCCCGGCUCGUUUGCGACAAAUUACACCUGUCAGUAGUGACUUUGACUGAGGCUGGAGUGCGUUCACAGAUGAGCUGCAGCUUUGUUGCUCUAUUUCAGGGAUUUGUUGAGGGUGUGAAAAACAGCUCCAAGGUCGUCUUUGAGGCCGUCUUCAAAAAGUGCAGACAAAUGCCCUCGCUCAUCAAGAAAUGGCGUCCCUUCAAAAUUAAAAAGCAAAAGUUGCUCAAGUGUUCUUCAACAAAGUUUGGAAGGUAAAAUAGGAGCAAAUGUUGGGAAGACAAGCCAGAAAUGAUGUGCAAGUGCAUCCAUCCCCAGCUAAACCAGUCUGGUGGAAGGAUUGAUUGUGGAAGUGAAAUGGUUUGUGUGUUUUCUUUCACUUCACUGGCUGCCUGUGAGUUCCUUUCAGGAUUCUUUUAUUUGUUUCUAAAUCUUUAAACCGCAGCACCGUACCUCUCUGAGCUUCUGCUUCCUUACAGCCCGACCUGAUGCCUCGGGUCAGCGGAUCGGAUUCUCCUGAAGGUACCAACGGUGCUCAGAGAGGAGCGAGGAUUCUCAAUCUGUGCACCGGAGCCAUGGAACGCUUCCCACUGAGCAUUCAGCUAUCCUCUCUGUCCAUUUAAAAAACAUUUCAAAACCCAUAUUUAUAGUCAGGCUUGUGACACAAAAGGAGACUCUGCUCUGCUGAGUGUUUCUUACUGUUUUUAUCUUGUGUUCUUAUAAUAUUAUGAUGCCUUUUUGUUGUUGUUUUAAUGGUUUUGAGCUCUAAAGUACGGCGCCUUGUUUGCCUGUGGUCAUUUUAAGGCGCUAUAUACAUAAAUAAAUAAACUUGAGUGGUGUCUUUGGCGCUGGCUGUGUAGGUCUGUGGUUUUUGCAUGUGUUUGUCACUUUUCUUCCUUAAAAAAAGGCAACUUCAUUUAUGUGAAUAAU